This 679-nucleotide ribosomal RNA is filed under the name Salmonella enterica subsp. enterica serovar Muenchen. Its description in RNAcentral is "partial 23S ribosomal RNA". It matches the Rfam family "Bacterial large subunit ribosomal RNA", at positions 161 to 879 of the family's 2925-position model. Lineage: Bacteria; Pseudomonadati; Pseudomonadota; Gammaproteobacteria; Enterobacterales; Enterobacteriaceae. The record is from RNAcentral.
AAUCCAUAGGUUAAUGAGGCGAACCGGGGGAACUGAAACAUCUAAGUACCCCGAGGAAAAGAAAUCAACCGAGAUUCCCCCAGUAGCGGCGAGCGAACGGGGAGGAGCCCAGAGCCUGAAUCAGCAUGUGUGUUAGUGGAAGCGUCUGGAAAGGCGCGCGAUACAGGGUGACAGCCCCGUACACAAAAGCGCAUGUGCUGUGAGCUCGAUGAGUAGGGCGGGACACGUGGUAUCCUGUCUGAAUAUGGGGGGACCAUCCUCCAAGGCUAAAUACUCCUGACUGACCGAUAGUGAACCAGUACCGUGAGGGAAAGGCGAAAAGAACCCCGGCGAGGGGAGUGAAAAAGAACCUGAAACCGUGUACGUACAAGCAGUGGGAGCACAGGUUUACCUGUGUGACUGCGUACCUUUUGUAUAAUGGGUCAGCGACUUAUAUUCUGUAGCAAGGUUAACCGUAUAGGGGAGCCGGAGGGAAACCGAGUCUUAACCGGGCGUUAAGUUGCAGGGUAUAGACCCGAAACCCGGUGAUCUAGCCAUGGGCAGGUUGAAGGUUGGGUAACACUAACUGGAGGACCGAACCGACUAAUGUUGAAAAAUUAGCGGAUGACCUGUGGCUGGGGGUGAAAGGCCAAUCAAACCGGGAGAUAGCUGGUUCUCCCCGAAAGCUAUUUAGGUAGCG